RNAcentral lists this ribosomal RNA (460 nucleotides) under uncultured bacterium. RNAcentral's name for it is "partial 16S ribosomal RNA". It matches the Rfam family "Bacterial small subunit ribosomal RNA", at positions 338 to 795 of the family's 1533-position model. The record is from RNAcentral.
CCUACGGGAGGCAGCAGUGAGGAAUAUUGGUCAAUGGGCGUAAGUCUGAACCAGCCAAGUAGCGUGAAGGAUGACUGCCCUAUGGGUUGUAAACCUCUUUUAUAUGGGAAUAAAAUGUUCCACGUGUGGGGUUUUGUAUGUACCAUAUGAAUAAGGAUCGGCUAACUCCGUGCCCGCAGCCGCGGGAAUACGGAGGAUCCGAGCGGUAUCCGGAUUUAUUGGGGUUAAAGGGGGCGGAGGUGGGUUGUUAAGUCCGUUGUGAAAAUUUGCGGCUCAAACCUAAAAUUGCAGUUGAAACUGGCAGUCUUGAGUACACUAGAGGUGGGCGGAAUGCGUGGUGUAGCGGUGAAAUGCUUAGAUAUCACGAAGAACUCCGAUUGCGAAGGCAGCUCACUGGAGUGCAACUGACACUGAGGCUCGAAAGUGUGGGUAUCAAACAGGAUUAGAUACCCGGGUAGUC